This 253-nucleotide ribosomal RNA is filed under the name uncultured bacterium. RNAcentral describes it as "partial 16S ribosomal RNA". It matches the Rfam family "Bacterial small subunit ribosomal RNA", at positions 524 to 776 of the family's 1533-position model. The record is from RNAcentral.
UACGUAGGGGGCAAGCGUUGUUCGGAUUCAUUGGGCGUAAAGGGUGCGUAGGUGGCGCGCUAAGUCAGGUGUGAAAUCUCGGAGCUUAACUCCGAAACUGCAUUCGAUACUGCCGUGCUUGAGGACUGGAGAGGAGACUGGAAUUUACGGUGUAGCGGUGAAAUGCGUAGAUAUCGUAAGGAAGACCAGUGGCGAAGGCGGGUCUCUGGACAGUUCCUGACGCUGAGGCACGAAGGUCAGGGGAGCAAACGGG